CAUUCAUGUAAUUCAUUUUAAGCUUAGAAAAAUCACUUUGGCAGCCUUUUGGAGAAUGAGCUGGAAUUGGGAGAUACUUGAGUCAGAGGGACCAAUUAGGAGACUGUUGCAAUAUUUUAUGUGAGAAGUACUGAGGAUCUACCUGAAUGAGCGUUGUGACAGUAUGGAUAAAGAAGAGAUAAAUACAAGACACUGUAGAGUGAACUUGGUCGCCUCACACAGUUUGUGCUAGGUGAUGGUGAAUCUCCAAGAACCCAUUAACAUCCAGAAAUGGAUGGAAUUUAUUAAGAUAAGACAGCAUAUGAUCAAUUAACAGUCACCAACUAUUUUAAUGAUGAAAGGUUGGAUGAUUUCAGGAGGCGGGUCAGAGAUCUAAUCAAUUUUGAAACAGCAUCUGCAAAAAUAGAUUACGUUCAUCUGAAGGGCAACCCAGUCAUGGAGCAACAUGGAGCUUUUUACAGAAUCACACAGCCAUUGAAACUCAAGGAGGAAGAAAUGAGACCAAGCACUUAUUAGGCAUCUGUUAUGUACCAAGCACUCUGGUAAGCACUUUACAAAUAUUCUUUCAUUUGAACUCACAACAUCCCUAUGAAGUAAGUCCUAUCAGGAUUCCCAUAUUGUA
Molecule: long non-coding RNA, 622 nt
Filed under: Monodelphis domestica (gray short-tailed opossum)
Lineage: Eukaryota; Metazoa; Chordata; Mammalia; Didelphimorphia; Didelphidae
Description: lncRNA (ENSMODG00000034972.2)
Source: RNAcentral